GAUGAAGACGUAGCGAAAUGCGAUAAGUAAUGUGAAUUGCAGAAUUCAGUGAAUCAUCGAGUCUUUGAACGCACAUUGCGCCCCCUGGUAUUCCGGGGGGCAUGCCUGUCCGAGCGUCAUUGCUGCCCUCAAGCACGGCUUGUGUGUUGGGCCCCCGUCCCCGGUUUCCCCCGGGGACGGGCCCGAAAGGCAGCGGCGGCACCGCGUCCGGUCCUCGAGCGUAUGGGGCUUUGUCACCCGCUCUGUAGGCCCGGCCGGCGCCAGCCGACACCCAACUUUAUUUCUAAGGUUGACCUCGGAUCAGGUAGGGAUACCCGCUGAACUUAAGCAUAUCAAUAAGCGGAGGA
Molecule: unclassified non-coding RNA, 347 nt
Filed under: soil metagenome
Description: partial contains 5.8S ribosomal RNA, internal transcribed spacer 2, and large subunit ribosomal RNA
Rfam family: 5.8S ribosomal RNA (bases 1-119)
Source: RNAcentral